GAGGAGGCAAACCGACGGUCAGAUGGAAACACUGAAGAGAGACUCGGACUCGGGAGGACAAAAAGCAGCACUAUUGGUCCAAAUGAGGAUGAGGCGUUACGGCGGGGAAAAGGAAUCACUUGUCAGGUCACAUUAAAUGCCAUGCAAGUGAUUCCCAAGCAAUAGGGACCUGAGAUGCACUGCUUUCAUCUGGAACUGGACUCAUUCAUUAAACUAAGUUUAACAACACAGAGCUGCAGGAUAACAGAGGACGCAUAACUAUAUACAUACAUACAGUUCCACUGGAAUACCGCGUGUCUUUAUUAGCUAAAAUUUACAUGCUGUUCUUGUUGCUGUUGCACUUGUUGCAUUUUAAAGCCGCUGAUCUGCAAUGCGCAUGCGCAUCUUCGCGCCCCCUGGUGGAAGCUCGACCUUGAACAUAAUGAGGCUUCAGAGUGUUGGUGGACAUCCAUCUUCCUUAAUUACAGCAUGCACCAUGCCUCCUACACUCCUCCACUCCAGCCAGCAGAGGCAGGAGGGUGUAUGAGGUCACCACACCAACAACAUCAUCACAGCCCUUUUCCAAACACAGAAUUUGGUAUUGGACUUUUUUUCAGGUUUCUUUUGCCAAGAAGUACUGUAGAGCUCAUGAAAAUUUUUGGAUGCAAUAUUUUCCUAAGAAUCUCAUGCUCAGGCCAUGGAAAUCUCCUGAAGACAGGCAGUGAAAUUUGUAAUAUUAACCUAGACCAGCUGUCUUACAAUGAAAAUUGAAUCACUUUAAAGAUGAAAAC
Long non-coding RNA from Tachysurus vachellii, 770 nucleotides. RefSeq lists it as uncharacterized. Lineage: Eukaryota; Metazoa; Chordata; Actinopteri; Siluriformes; Bagridae. The record is from RefSeq and is a predicted model, not a curated record. The transcript has 3 exons.